This 1614-nucleotide ribosomal RNA is filed under the name Myxobolus sp. Hungary-EE-2003. RNAcentral's name for it is "SSU rRNA". It matches the Rfam family "Eukaryotic small subunit ribosomal RNA", at positions 91 to 1487 of the family's 1831-position model. The record is from RNAcentral. Lineage: Eukaryota; Metazoa; Cnidaria; Myxozoa; Bivalvulida; Myxobolidae.
GGGCCCAAAAACAGGAUAUCUGUUUGAUUGUCUUCCCCAUUGGAUAACCGUGGGAAAUCUAGAGCUAAUACAUGCAGUUUAUUGGUCUUGCCGAAAGGCUUGAUCAAAGCAUUUAUUAGACUUAACCAUCUACUGCGUGGCAACACGUGGUAAGGCGAAUCUAGAUAACUUUGCUGAUCGUAUGGCCUUGUGCCGACGACGUUUCAAUUGAGUUUCUGCCCUAUCAAUUUGUUGGUAAGGUAUUGGCUUACCAAGGUUGCAACGGGUAACGGGGAAUCAGGGUUCGAUUCCGGAGAGGGAGCCUGAGAAACGGCUACCACAUCCAAGGAAGGCAGCAGGCGCGCAAAUUACCCAAUCUAGACAGUAGGAGGUGGUGAAGAGAAGUACCGGGUGGUGGUCAAUGACUACCAACUUGGAAUGAACGUAAUUUAAGCAAUUCGAUGAGUAACUACUGGAGGGCAAGUCCUGGUGCCAGCAGCCGCGGUAAUUCCAGCUCCAGUGGCGUGAUUUAAAGUUGCUGCGUUUAAAACGCUCGUAGUUGGAUCACGCAGUAGUAUUCAGUAAUCUGGGCCAAUGCAUGUGACGAUGGCCUCAGGGUUUAUCGGAUCUACAUUGGCUUAGAUGUUUAUGCUGAAUGCUACUAUUUGCACACAAGUGUGGUAUUUGGCCUUAAGUGAGUUGAGUAUCAUGCCUUGUGGAGUGUGCCUUGAAUAAAACAGAGUGCUCAAAGCAGGCGAAAGCUUGAAUGUUAUAGCAUGGAACGAACAAACGUGUAUUUGCGUAUGUUUAGUAAUGAUUGGGGGCAACCUUGAUUAUUGCUAGCGUGCGCAGCACCCACCAAAAUACGGAUGUUGGUUUUCGUAUCAGGUGAUGAUUAACAGGAGCGGUUGGGGGCAUUGGUAUUUGGCCGCGAGAGGUGAAAUUCUUGGACCGGCCAAGGACUAACAGAUGCGAAGGCGUUUGUCUAGACCGUUUCCAUUAAUCAAGAACGAAAGUGAGAGGUUCGAAGACGAUCAGAUACCGUCCUAGUUCUCACCUUAAACUAUGCCGACCUGGGAUCAGCUUAGUGAUUUGCAAGCACUAAGUUGGUCCCCCUGGGAAACCUCAAGUUUUUCGGUUACGGGGAGAGUAUGGUCGCAAGUCUGAAACUUAAAGGAAUUGACGGAAGGGCACCACCAGGGGUGGAGCCUGCGGCUUAAUUUGACUCAACACGGGGAAACUUACCUGGUCCGGACAUCGAAAGGAUAGACAGACUGAUAGAUCUUUCUUGAUGCGGUGAGUGGUGGUGCAUGGCCGUUCUUAGUUCGUGGAGCGAUCUGUCAGGUUUAUUCCGGUAACGAACGAGACCACCUUCUCCAUUUAGGAUACGGUAGUAGAAGGCCGGGGUGCGGCCUCGGUCGUUUCCCUGGUCUUUGCAGGUAAAAUUAUUGAAUUUCAGAGGUGCGAUGCGAAGGGGCAACUCUUUGUGUUGUAUUUUUGAAAGGAUGUGAUUUUCCCUACCGUUAUGCAGUGGUGGGCAAAACCUACACGCUGCCUUAUGGAGAGACAACAGGUAUAUAAAAGCCUGAGGAAGUGUGGCUAUACAGGUCUGGGAUGCCUAAAAAUGUCCUGGAA